RNAcentral lists this long non-coding RNA (764 nucleotides) under Homo sapiens (human). RNAcentral describes it as "HSALNT0353722". Lineage: Eukaryota; Metazoa; Chordata; Mammalia; Primates; Hominidae. The record is from RNAcentral.
CCCCGCGCCGCCGCCCCCAACCCCUAGGCUGAGCCGGAGGGAGGGACCCAGAAGGGAGGGAGGCGGAAGGGAGGCCAAAAAGGAGGGGGCCACGUGAAAGAGGCCGGCCGACCGAGACCGAGGGAGACUGAGCGGAGCGCACGCCCUGGAAGGAGAGAGCCGGAGAGUUCGGGAGGCAAGACCCCCAGAGACGAGAGUCGGAGGGAUCAAACGACACAGGGUCUGACUCUGUCACCUAGGCUGGAGCCCACUGGUGCCCUCUCAGCUCACUGCAACCUCCACCUCCUGCGCUCAAGCAAUCCUCCCACCUCCUGGGCUCAAGCAAUCUUCCCACCUCAACCUCCCUAGUAUCUGGGACUGCAGAUGGAGUCUUGCUCUGUCACCCAGACUGGGUACAGUGGCACGAUCUCGGCUCACUACAAACUCCACCUCCUGGGUUCAAGAGAUUCUCCUACCUCAGCCUCCCGAGUAGCUGGGACUACAGACACAGGGGUUUGCCCUCCUGUCCCUUCUCCUCCAGAGGACACAGCAUUCAAUACUACCUUGGAAGCAGCGACAGCAACCCUCACCAGACACCAAGCCUGCUGGCACCUUGAUCUUGGACAUCCAGCCUCCAGAUCUGUGAGAAGUAAAUUCUGGUUUUUUAAAAAUUACCCAGUCUCAGGUAUUUUUUAAUACACACAUUAAUGGACUAAGACAAGACUCAACACUGUCAAGUUGUCAAUUUGUGCUAAAUUGAUCUAUAGACUUAAUAUGUUCUCAAU